AUUGAACGCUGGCGGUAUGCUUAACACAUGCAAGUCGAACGGUAACAUAGGAGCUUGCUCCUGAUGACGAGUGGCGGACGGGUGCGUAACGCGUGGGAAUUUACCUUAUAGUGGGGGAUAGCCCGGAGAAAUCCGGAUUAAUACCGCAUAAUCUCUACGGAGGAAAAGGGGCCUCUCCUUGGAAGCUCUUGCUAUUAGAUGAGCCCGCGUUAGAUUAGCUAGUUGGUGAGGUAAUGGCUCACCAAGGCGACGAUCUAUAGCUGGUUUGAGAGGAUGAUCAGCCACACUGGGACUGAGACACGGCCCAGACUCCUACGGGAGGCAGCAGUGGGGAAUAUUGGACAAUGGGCGCAAGCCUGAUCCAGCAAUACCGCGUGUGUGAAGAAGGCCUGAGGGUUGUAAAGCACUUUCAAUAGAGAAGAAAAGCCUAGGACUAAUACUUCUGGGUGUUGACGUUAUCUAUACAAGAAGCACCGGCUAACUCCGUGCCAGCCGCCGCCGUAACAC
Molecule: ribosomal RNA, 507 nt
Filed under: uncultured bacterium
Lineage: Bacteria
Description: bacterial SSU rRNA
Rfam family: Bacterial small subunit ribosomal RNA
Source: RNAcentral